RNAcentral lists this ribosomal RNA (460 nucleotides) under uncultured bacterium. RNAcentral's name for it is "partial 16S ribosomal RNA". It matches the Rfam family "Bacterial small subunit ribosomal RNA", at positions 338 to 795 of the family's 1533-position model. The record is from RNAcentral.
CCUACGGGAGGCAGUAGUGAGGAAUAUUGGUCAAUGGACGAGAGUCUGAACCAGCCAAGUAGCGUGAAGGAUGACUGCCCUAUGGGUUGUAAACUUCUUUUAUAAAGGAAUAAAACGAGGCACGUGUGCCUUUUUGCAUGUACUUUAUGAAUAAGGAUCGGCUAACUCCGUGCCAGCAGCCGCGGUAAUACGGAGGAUCCGAGCGUUAUCCGGAUUUAUUGGGUUUAAAGGGAGCGUAGAUGGGUUGUUAAGUCAGUUGUGAAAGUUUGCGGCUCAACCGUAAAAUUGCAAUUGAUACUGGAAGUCUUGAGUACAGUUGAGGUAGGCGGAAUUCGUGGUGUAGCGGUGAAAUGCUUAGAUAUCACGAAGAACCCCGAUUGCGAAGGCAGCUUACUAAACUGUGACUGACAUUGAUGCUCGAAAGUGUGGGUAUCAAACAGGAUUAGAUACCCUUGUAGUC